AAAUGCGAUAAGUAAUGUGAAUUGCAGAAUUCAGUGAAUCAUCAAAUCUUUGAACGCACAUUGCGCCCGCCAGUAUUCUGGCGGGCAUGCCUGUUCGAGCGUCAUUUCAACCAUCAAGCCCCCCGGCUUGUGUUGGGGACCUGCGGCUGCCCGCAGGCCCUGAAAAACAGUGGCGGGCUCGCUGUCACACCGAGCGUAGUAGCAUACAUUCUCGCUCAGGGCGUGCUGCGGGUUCCGGCCGUUAAACGACCUUCAUAACCCAAGGUUGACCUCGGAUCAGGUAGGAAGACCCGCUGAACUUAAGC
This 305-nucleotide unclassified non-coding RNA is filed under the name plant metagenome. RNAcentral describes it as "partial contains 5.8S ribosomal RNA, internal transcribed spacer 2, and large subunit ribosomal RNA". The stretch from base 1 to 104 matches the Rfam family "5.8S ribosomal RNA", at positions 51 to 154 of the family's 154-position model. The record is from RNAcentral.